This is a non-coding RNA of Naganishia cerealis, 92 nucleotides long. The record is from the annotation of a GenBank genome assembly. Lineage: Eukaryota; Fungi; Basidiomycota; Tremellomycetes; Filobasidiales; Filobasidiaceae.
GCCGGCUUAGUGAAGUGGUUAACACGUUAGUUUCCGGUUCUCUUGUGAACCAGACCAGCUAAAGAGCACGGGUUCGAAUCCCGUAGUCGGUU